Molecule: ribosomal RNA, 465 nt
Filed under: uncultured bacterium
Lineage: Bacteria
Description: partial 16S ribosomal RNA
Rfam family: Bacterial small subunit ribosomal RNA
Source: RNAcentral
CCUACGGAGGGCUGCAGUGGGGAAUUUUGCGCCAUGCUCGUAAGAGUGACGCAGCGACGCCGCGUGAAUGACGAAGGCAUUCGGGUCGUAACGUUCUUUCGACAGGGAAGAAAAUGCAUCUAAGUAACUGUGUAUGUAUUGACGGUACAUGUAUAAGCAGCCCCGGCUAACUCCGUGCCAGCAGCCGCGGUAAUACGGAGGGGGCGAGCCUGGUUCGGAGUGACUGGGCGUAAAGAGCACGGAGGCGGUGUUGUAAGUCAUUAGUCAAAGACUAGAGCUCAACUUUAGUAAGGCUAGUGAUACUAUAAUACUAGAGUAUCAGAGAGGAUUGCAGAAGUCCUGGUGUAGCGGUGAAAUGCGUAGAUAUCAGGAGGAAUACCGUUAGCGAAGGCGGCAAUCUGGCUGGAAACUGACGCUGAGGUGCGAAAGCGUGGGUAGCAAACAGGAUUAGAUACCCUUGUAGUC